GGCACCGGCACCGCUCUGCCGCUGCCCCGUUCGAAAGCCGCGCGUUCGAGUUCGAGAUAGAUACAAACCGAAACAAACUCAUUCCAGCAAUGGAAACACACGAGACUGAGAGUGUGUAGUGGCCAACAGAGCACAGAUGACAAUGAUAUGCCAUGAGCUGAAGGAAAAGAAUAUUCUUUUUUCAGAAGAAGUCACUCACUAACCCACAGCAUGCUGAAACACCAAGAGCACGUGGAUUUUGCACAGACCAUGAAACCAAGGAGGAUGUGGCAGCUGGGAACUUACUGGCACUCAGUGGAGUCAUCUUUCCAUUGUUCUUGAUGACUUACAUAUGCCACCUAUUGAUAAAUCCUAAGAGAGCAUUUCACAGGAGCACUGCACUGUCCACUGCAAUUUUGUAAGUGAUGCUCUACAAACUCUCUACAGCCAUCUACCCUGACUUCUCCAUGAAACUGAUGAUUUAUUUUUUUUAUUUUGAU
Long non-coding RNA from Ficedula albicollis (Collared flycatcher), 479 nucleotides. RefSeq lists it as uncharacterized. The record is from RefSeq and is a predicted model, not a curated record. The transcript has 3 exons. NCBI's taxonomy places the organism in Eukaryota, Metazoa, Chordata, Aves, Passeriformes, Muscicapidae.